GAUGAACGCUGGCGGCGUGCCUAAUACAUGCAAGUCGAGCGAACAGACGAGGAGCUUGCUCCUCUGACGUUAGCGGCGGAUGGGUGAGUAACACGUGGAUAACCUACCUAUAAGACUGGGAUAACUUCGGGAAACCGGAGCUAAUACCGGAUAAUAUAUUGAACCGCAUGGUUCAAUAGUGAAAGACGGUUUUGCUGUCACUUAUAGAUGGAUCCGCGCCGCAUUAGCUAGUUGGUAAGGUAACGGCUUACCAAGGCAACGAUGCGUAGCCGACCUGAGAGGGUGAUCGGCCACACUGGAACUGAGACACGGUCCAGACUCCUACGGGAGGCAGCAGUAGGGAAUCUUCCGCAAUGGGCGAAAGCCUGACGGAGCAACGCCGCGUGAGUGAUGAAGGUCUUCGGAUUGUAAAACUCUGUUAUUAGGGAAGAACAAAUGUGUAAGUAACUAUGCACGUCUUGACGGUACCUAAUCAGAAAGCCACGGCUAACUACGUG
Molecule: ribosomal RNA, 497 nt
Filed under: uncultured bacterium
Lineage: Bacteria
Description: partial 16S ribosomal RNA
Rfam family: Bacterial small subunit ribosomal RNA
Source: RNAcentral